AUUGAACGCUGGCGGAAUGCUUUACACAUGCAAGUCGGGCGGCAGCGCGGGGGCAACCCUGGCGGCGAGCGGCGAACGGGUGAGUAACACAUCGGAACGUACCCUGUCGUGGGGGAUAACGAAUCGAAAGAUUCGCUAAUACCGCAUACGACCUGAGGGUGAAAGCGGGGGAUCGCAAGACCUCGCGCGAGAGGAGCGGCCGAUGGCGGAUUAGCUAGUUGGUGGGGUAAAGGCCCACCAAGGCGACGAUCCGUAGCGGGUCUGAGAGGACGGCCCGCCACACUGGGACUGAGACACGGCCCAGACUCCUACGGGAGGCAGCAGUGGGGAAUUUUGGACAAUGGGGGCAACCCUGAUCCAGCCAUUCCGCGUGAGUGAAGAAGGCCU
Molecule: ribosomal RNA, 387 nt
Filed under: uncultured bacterium
Lineage: Bacteria
Description: bacterial SSU rRNA
Rfam family: Bacterial small subunit ribosomal RNA
Source: RNAcentral